RNAcentral lists this small RNA (29 nucleotides) under Bombyx mori (domestic silkworm). Its description in RNAcentral is "ovarian small RNA-4055". The record is from RNAcentral. Lineage: Eukaryota; Metazoa; Arthropoda; Insecta; Lepidoptera; Bombycidae.
UUCGUGUAUGCUACGAUGUGGUGCAGUUC